GUGACGGAGGAUUUGGACCAUGAAAUACUGAAAGCCAGCGGGUUUCCUUCUAUGUUCAGAAAGCACAAGUGCAGGCAGCGCUCAGAACAAGGACCUGCGUAACGUGCGUGAAAGAGCUCAGAUGGGAUUUCCUCUGGAGGAGUGAUUGCAGCACGGUCAGGUCCAAAGGGCAUGUGCUGAGGCCGAGGACGAUACAGAGAAACCCCUCCCGGACUUUUAAAGUGGUUCGCAGGGCCAAAUUUGCGCCGCUAUUCAUUUCACAAUAAAUAAAAAAAAAUGUUCUCGGGAGAGUUUCUCUUGUGGCCCGGACAAAGGUUUAUUUGGUUUGAGGCUUUGAGCGCAGUGUGGACAAACAUCACAGAAAUAGGACGGAUCGUGCAGAACAUCGGCCAUAGGGCCAACAUCCAUUGCACAAUGCACCACUGCCAAAAAUAAAU
This is a long non-coding RNA of Pungitius pungitius (ninespine stickleback), 437 nucleotides long. RefSeq lists it as uncharacterized. The transcript is spliced from 3 exons. NCBI's taxonomy places the organism in Eukaryota, Metazoa, Chordata, Actinopteri, Perciformes, Gasterosteidae. The record is from RefSeq and is a predicted model, not a curated record.